AUUGAACGCUGGCGGCAGGCCUAACACAUGCAAGUCGAGCGGCUGCACGGAGCUUGCUUCUGGAUUCAGGUGCGGACGGGCGGGUGAUUCCUAGGUACCUCCCUGGUUGUUGGGGCUAACGUCAGAACGCGGGGGCUCAUACCCCAUACCUCCAUACGGCGAACGUGGGGGAUCUUCGGACCUUCCGCCCUCACGUGAUCCGAGGUCGGAUUAGCUAGUUGGCGGGGUAAAGGCCUACCAAGGCGACGAUCCGUAGCUGGUCUGAGAGGAUGAUCAGUCACACUGGAACUGAGACACGGUCCAGACUCCUACGGGAGGCAGCAGUGGGGAAUAUUGGACAAUGGGCGAAAGCCUGAUCCAGCCAUGCCGCGUGGGUGAAGAAGGUCUUCGGAUUGUAAAGCACUUUAAGUGGGGAAGAAAAGCAGUAAGUUAAUACCUUGCUGUUUUGACGGUACCAAAAGAAUAAGCACCGGCUAACUUCGUG
This 484-nucleotide ribosomal RNA is filed under the name uncultured bacterium. Its description in RNAcentral is "partial 16S ribosomal RNA". It matches the Rfam family "Bacterial small subunit ribosomal RNA", at positions 30 to 507 of the family's 1533-position model. The record is from RNAcentral.